GACGAACGCUGGCGGCGUGCCUAAUACAUGCAAGUAGAACGCUGAAGAGAGGAGCUUGCUCUUCUUGGAUGAGUUGCGAACGGGUGAGUAACGCGUAGGUAACCUGCCUUGUAGCGGGGGAUAACUAUUGGAAACGAUAGUUAAUACCGCAUAACAAUGAAUGACACAUGUCAUUUAUUUGAAAGGGGCAAUUGCUCCACUACAAGAUGGACCUGCGUUGUAUUAGCUAGUAGGUGAGGUAACGGCUCACCUAGGCGACGAUACAUAGCCGACCUGAGAGGGUGAUCGGCCACACUGGGACUGAGACACGGCCCAGACUCCUACGGGAGGCAGCAGUAGGGAAUCUUCGGCAAUGGGGGCAACCCUGACCGAGCAACGCCGCGUGAGUGAAGAAGGUUUUCGGAUCGUAAAGCUCUGUUGUAAGUCAAGAACGAGUGUGAGAGUGGAAAGUUCACACUGUGACGGUAGCUUACCAGAAAGGGACGGCUAACUACGUGCCAGCAGCCGCGGUAAUACGUAGGUCCCGAGCGUUGUCCGGAUUUAUUGGGCGUAAAGCGAGCGCAGGCGGUUUGAUAAGUCUGAAGUUAAAGGCUGUGGCUCAACCAUAGUUCGCUUUGGAAACUGUCAAACUUGAGUGCAGAAGGGGAGAGUGGAAUUCCAUGUGUAGCGGUGAAAUGCGUAGAUAUAUGGAGGAACACCGGUGGCGAAAGCGGCUCUCUGGUCUGUAACUGACGCUGAGGCUCGAAAGCGUGGGGAGCGAACAGG
Molecule: ribosomal RNA, 765 nt
Filed under: uncultured Streptococcus sp.
Lineage: Bacteria; Bacillati; Bacillota; Bacilli; Lactobacillales; Streptococcaceae
Description: bacterial SSU rRNA
Rfam family: Bacterial small subunit ribosomal RNA
Source: RNAcentral